Molecule: ribosomal RNA, 157 nt
Filed under: uncultured bacterium
Lineage: Bacteria
Description: partial 16S ribosomal RNA
Source: RNAcentral
CACGGAGUUAGCCGGAGCUUACAAACAGUACCGUCAUCGUCGGUGGUGUUGACACCGACUUAUUCUUCCCGUUCUUGCGAAGUUUACAUCCCGAGGGAUUUCAUCCUUCACGCGGCGUUGCUGGGUCAGGCUUUCGCCCAUUGCCCAAAAUUCCCGA